GUGUGUGAAGAAGGCCUUCGGGUUGUAAAGCACUUUUGUCCGGAAAGAAAUCCUUGGUCCUAAUAUGGCCGGGGGAUGACGGUACCGGAAGAAUAAGCACCGGCUAACUACGUGCCAGCAGCCGCGGUAAUACGUAGGGUGCAAGCGUUAAUCGGAAUUACUGGGCGUAAAGCGUGCGCAGGCGGUUUGCUAAGACCGAUGUGAAAUCCCCGGGCUCAACCUGGGAACUGCAUUGGUGACUGGCAGGCUAGAGUAUGGCAGAGGGGGGUAGAAUUCCACGUGUAGCAGUGAAAUGCGUAGAGAUGUGGAGGAAUACCGAUGGCGAAGGCAGCCCCCUGGGCCAAUACUGACGCUCAUGCACGAAAGCGUGGGGAGCAAACAGGAUUAGAUACCCUGGUAGUCCACGCCCUAAACGAUGUCAACUAGUUGUUGGGGAUUCAUUUCCUUAGUAACGUAGCUAACGCGUGAAGUUGACCGCCUGGGGAGUACGGUCGCAAGAUUAAAACUCAAAGGAAUU
This 517-nucleotide ribosomal RNA is filed under the name Burkholderia diffusa. RNAcentral's name for it is "bacterial SSU rRNA". It matches the Rfam family "Bacterial small subunit ribosomal RNA", at positions 401 to 911 of the family's 1533-position model. The record is from RNAcentral. Lineage: Bacteria; Pseudomonadati; Pseudomonadota; Betaproteobacteria; Burkholderiales; Burkholderiaceae.